RNAcentral lists this ribosomal RNA (305 nucleotides) under uncultured bacterium. RNAcentral describes it as "bacterial SSU rRNA". It matches the Rfam family "Bacterial small subunit ribosomal RNA", at positions 334 to 657 of the family's 1533-position model. The record is from RNAcentral.
GGCCCUACGGGAGGCAGCAGUGGGGGAUAUUGCACAGUGGGGGCAACCCUGAUGCAGCGACGCCGCGUGAGCGAUGGAGUACUUCGGUAUGUAAAGCUCCGUCAGCAGGGAAGAGAAUGACGGUACCUGACCAAGAAGCCCCGGCUAAAUACGUGCCAGCAGCCGCGGUAAUACGUAUGGGGCAAGCGUUAUCCGGAUUUACUGGGUGUAAAGGGAGCGUAGACGGAAUUGCAAGUCUGAUGUGAAAAUCCGGGGCCCAACCCCGGAACUGAAUUGGAAACUGUAUUUCUCGAGUGUCGGAGAGG